Molecule: ribosomal RNA, 253 nt
Filed under: uncultured bacterium
Lineage: Bacteria
Description: partial 16S ribosomal RNA
Rfam family: Bacterial small subunit ribosomal RNA
Source: RNAcentral
UACGUAGGGUGCGAGCGUUGUCCGGAAUCACUGGGCGUAAAGCGCACGUAGGCGGAUUGCUAAGUCAGGGGUGAAAUCCUGGAGCUCAACUCCAGAACUGCCUUUGAUACUGGCGACCUUGAGUCCGGGAGAGGUGAGUGGAACUGCGAGUGUAGAGGUGAAAUUCGUAGAUAUUCGCAAGAACACCAGUGGCGAAGGCGGCCAACUGGUCCGAUACUGACGCUGAGGCGCGAAAGCGUGGGGAGCAAACAGG